UGUGAGUCGGGGCGUCGUAGCGCAGCUGCAGCAGCACCCGGGCGCGUCCGGGGCUGUGGGAGCCGAAAGUUGGGGUCUUGCUCUGUCGCUCAGGCUGGAGUGCAGUGGCAUGAUCAUGGGUCACUGCAGCCUUGAACUCCUGGGCUUAAGGGAUCUUCUCAUCUCAGUCUCCUAAAUAGCUGGGACUACAGGCUCAGGCCACCAUGCCUGCAUGAGGCCCUCACCAGAUACAGCCACCUGAUCUUGGACUUCACAGCCUCCAGAAAUAGAUGCCUUCUGCCAUGAUUAUAAGUUUCCUGAGGCCUCCCCAGCCAUGCAGAACUUCCAGUGAUUCAAGUUUGACACACCACACCACGGUGGAUGUGCCUUGUCAUGACACAUCUCAGCAGCACUAGAAGAUACAUCCAAAGUCCUGUGAGCAAGGUCUGUGGUAUCUGUUUAUUAUGGCAGCCCAGUAAGACUAAGACAGGCCAUCACAAGACGUGAACGUUUUGGACCUUCUCUUGGGCCCUAGUAAACAGAAAUCAGAAGGAAGAAAACUUUGCUAAUGCUCUGCCAAGCCUCACUUUUCUCUCAUGAUUAGAAGGUUUGAUGUUAUCCAGAAUUACUCAUGGAAGAUGGAAGAGCUGCAGCAUUACAAUGAAAGCCAUCUUACAACAGCCUGAGUAUCUUUUUUUUACCUGAGUCAGGAGCAAAAAAUAUUCAUGUAUAUUCCCUAAAAGGACAAAAAAGGAUCCAAUGAAAGGGCUAGGUUGUAGAAAGGUAGCAUUUUAUUGCUAAAUGACAACUAAAAUCACUCUGUAUGCCUUGUAUUGUAAAAGAGAAAAUUAAGACCCAGAAUAAGAUCAAGAGUUUUUCAUUGAUCGUUAUGAUAUUAAAGAAGUUUUGAAAUACGUGGCUAGCUUUCUCACAUCUAUGUGCUGAUUAGACCUCAGCCAAAGACUUCAGGGGAGCCCUCUGCAAGUUUCUAGAGUUCUUUGUGCAACUUUUUCUCUUGGGUUCUCUGACUUGCAAACUCAAACCGCCAGGCUUUUCUUAGACUCAGCUCUGCCUCCUCAUCUCAGAGAGACCCUACAAUGGGGCCUGGGAACCCUCCAGGCUCUGAGCUGGACAAUGGAGCUCACCUCCAUUUUGUUUGUUUCCUCUCUCUUGGCAAUCACUCUUCUGUGCUACUGAUGCCCAGUGUCUGAAAUUCAUUUUUUUCAUACCUUUUGUUUGUUUGCUUGGUGUCAUUUCCUGCAGGAGGGUAAAUCUGGCUGGCUCCUGUUGUUCCAUCUGUCCUCCAGCAGCUUCCCAUACAGGCAGCUCACUUCACUUCAUUUUCAAUUUUAA
Molecule: long non-coding RNA, 1332 nt
Filed under: Homo sapiens (human)
Lineage: Eukaryota; Metazoa; Chordata; Mammalia; Primates; Hominidae
Description: HSALNT0078760
Source: RNAcentral